Molecule: long non-coding RNA, 1246 nt
Organism: Gasterosteus aculeatus aculeatus (three-spined stickleback)
Lineage: Eukaryota; Metazoa; Chordata; Actinopteri; Perciformes; Gasterosteidae
Source: Ensembl
AUCCAAGAUGGCGCCGUUGAUGGCUUCGGUGCGCUUCGUUUUUUGUUGUUUUUGUUGUUAAUUACGUUUGCUGCUGCGAUUCCCGGAGCUCUUUCACCAGAGAUGAGCUCUUGAACAUCCGUGGAACUACUCCAGCGGAGUUACUUCCAACUUUCCUGCUUUCUUCCGUGGAAUUACUGGACAUUUUAGUCAAAGGUGCGGUCACCUUUCGUCACGCGGUGAGACGCCGUCGGAGAGGAAAACGGGCCGGCUCGCUGGUGAGACUCCGCAGGCGUGGUUCUCGCACUCCGCUGCCAGGCAUCUUUCUCUCCAACGUGCGCUCACUGUGCAACAAACUGGACGAAAUUCAGCUGCUGAUGAGGAGAGACGGAGACUUCUCUACAUCCUCCGUCUUGUGCUUCACGGAGACGUGGCUCUGCGGAUCGAUACCGGACUCCGCGCUCCAGCUGGCGGGCUUCCAGCUGCUCCGAGCGGACCGCGACACGGAGCUCUCCGGCAAGACGAAGGGUGGAGGAAUCUGCUUCUACUUCAACAACAGCUGGUGCAACGACGUAACGGUGAUCCUACAACACUGUUCUCCUGAUCUGGAAACUUUUUUCAUCCACUGCAAACCCUUUUAUUCCCCCCGUGAGUUCGCUUCAUUCAUCCUGGUCGGUGUUUACAUGCCGCCGGCGGGCAACGUGCACGAGGCACAGCGGACACUCGCCGACCAGAUACGGCGUGUGGAGCGGACCAACCCGGACUCUUUAGUUAUUGUCCUCGGGGACUUUAACAAAGGAAAUCUCACCAAUGAACUCCCUAAAUACAGACAGUUUAUUAAAUGCCCCACCAGAGAGGAGAACACGCUGGAUCACUGCUACACCACAGUCAGCAGGGCUUAUCACGCCGUCCCUCGUGCUGCACUGGGACACUCUGACCACGUCAUGGUCCAUCUGAUUCCUGCAUACAGGCAGAAACUAAAGCUCUGCAAACCUGUGGUGAGGGAAUUCAAGAAGUGGACCAGUGAGGCGCUGGAGGAUCUUCGGGCGUGCUUUGACUGCACAGACUGGGAUGUUUUCAGCUACUGACAGUCUGGAUGAGUUCACAGAGGCUGUAACUUCCUACAUCGGCUUCUGUGAGGACAGCUGUGUACCAUCAUGCACCAGGCAACGACCCUCUCUAUUCUGGAGAGAGACGUUAACCGGCUCUUUAGAAGACUAAAUCCCCGUAAGGCAGCCGGUCCGGACUCCGUUUCCCCUCACUCCCU